UACUGGGGAUCGAGCCCACAACCCGGGCAUAUGUGACCUUUUGGUUCAUAGGUCUAAGCUCAACCACUGAGCCACACCGGCCAGGCCACUUGAAAUCUUUUAAGGAGAAACAGCAAAUCUGGUGCUGGCAGCUGGGGUAAUUCCGGCCUCAGUGCAGGGUAUUGAAUUUGGUGUAGUUAAAUUGCCAAGCUUGGGUUGCUGGCACGGGUCCAUGGCUGAGGAGCCUUGGUCCCCAUCCACACCCCCUGCCUCUGCUCUCCUGGCUCUUAGCAGUUUCCCGGUGUUGAAGUGUGUACUUGGAGAAAAUUAGAGUGCUCAAAGCAGGGCGCGAGCUGCCUGGACGCUGCCGCUAGGUAUCCUGGAAUGCGAGCAUGGUUCUGUUUUUGGUUUUUUAAAAAUAUAUUUUAUCGAUUUUUUACAGAGAGGAAGGGAGAGGGAUAGAGAGUUAGAAACACCCAUCAGCUGCCUCCUACACACCCCAUACUGUGGAUGUGCCCGCAACCAAGGUACAUGCCCUUGACCGGAAUCGAACCUGGGACUCUACAGUCCACAGGCCAAUGCUCUAGCCACUGAGCCAAACUGGUCAGGGCCAUGGUUCUGUUUUUUGUGUCAGAACUUCGCGGAGGCUGAUUAGAUGGAAUGCCUAGGGUGUUUGUUCGUAUUGCACCACUGAAGUUCAAAGUCUUACUGCAGGACAGACCAGAGUGAAAGCUUUUUGCCAAGAAUACUUUAAAUAACAAGGAUGCAGGUGAAAGAAAGUAGGAGAUUUGAAGAGGUACAGAUCUCGGGUAGUUCUGACUAUAAACGAUGCAAACAGCCAGCAUUAUUCCUGUGAUCCGCUGGCAGCUUCCAAGAAACCAAAGCCCACCAGGUGGUGGUAGCUUGAGGUCUGGUUCCAAAGGUGAACUGAAAGGCACCGCAAUGGAGUCUGCUAUUUGACUUAGUCUAGACAACCCCACUGACUCCGGCAGGGACAGGAUUGCCAUGGAUGGCGAUGUGUGGCAUUUCACUUACAGAGUGAUUUGGCUGGCAUAUUGAUAACCGAAGGAACUUGUGUGCUAACUAUUUAGGUUAUGUUGAGUGCUCAGUAUCCCUCAACUUUGACAAGUGGUGUUCCAGCCGAUGCCAGCGGCCCUUUAAAUCCAUUAGUGAUGUGCUUGGAUUGCAGUUAUUCUGCAUUAAGGAGUUCCCUGUGCGAGUAGAUCAAAAGGUUGCGUUAAAUUCCUGUCCCUUGUACACGCUGCCUGUUGCCCCUCAGAUUGCCCACUUGGGGUUGGCACUUGACCCCAGCAGAUCCUAGAGAAGAUGAUUGUUGCAACCAGGUUUUGGUUGGUGAUCCUGCAGGAGGAGCAUUG
This 1355-nucleotide non-coding RNA is filed under the name Myotis davidii. Its description in RNAcentral is "Eukaryotic small subunit ribosomal RNA". It matches the Rfam family "Eukaryotic small subunit ribosomal RNA", at positions 477 to 1831 of the family's 1831-position model. Lineage: Eukaryota; Metazoa; Chordata; Mammalia; Chiroptera; Vespertilionidae. The record is from Rfam by way of RNAcentral.